This 395-nucleotide ribosomal RNA is filed under the name uncultured bacterium. RNAcentral describes it as "bacterial SSU rRNA". It matches the Rfam family "Bacterial small subunit ribosomal RNA", at positions 505 to 898 of the family's 1533-position model. The record is from RNAcentral.
GUGUCAGCAGCCGCGGUAAGACGAACCGUGCGAACGUUGUUCGGAAUCACUGGGCUUAAAGGGCGCGUAGGCGGCCGAGCGGGUCGUGGGUGAAAUCCCCCAGCUCAACUGGGGAACUGCCCACGCUACCACUGCGGCUCGAGGAAGGCAGGGGCAUUUGGAACUGUCGGUGGAGCGGUGAAAUGCGUUGAUAUCGACAGGAACGCCGAUGGCGAAAGCAGAAUGCUGGUCCUUUUCUGACGCUGAGGCGCGAAAGCCAGGGGAGCAAACGGGAUUAGAUACCCCGGUAGUCCUGGCCUUAAACGAUGGGCACUAGGUAGUGGGCUCGACCUGGGCGCACUGCCGCAGCGAAAGUCCUAAGUGCCCCGCCUGGGGAGUAUGGUCGCAAGGCUGAA